Molecule: ribosomal RNA, 476 nt
Filed under: uncultured bacterium
Lineage: Bacteria
Description: bacterial SSU rRNA
Rfam family: Bacterial small subunit ribosomal RNA
Source: RNAcentral
CGCUGGCGGCGCGCCUAACACAUGCAAGUCGAACGGAGAUUGAUUGAAAGAUUCUUCGGAUGAUUGAUAUCAAUCUUAGUGGCGAACGGGUGAGUAACGCGUGAGCAAUCUGCCUUAAAGAGGGGGACAACAGUUGGAAACGACUGCUAAUACCGCAUAAGCCCACACUACCGCAUGGUAGAGUGAGAAAAGAUUUUAUCGCUUUAAGAUGAGCUCGCGUCUGAUUAGAUAGUUGGUGAGGUAACGGCUCACCAAGUCGACGAUCAGUAGCCGGACUGAGAGGUUGAACGGCCACAUUGGAACUGAGAUACGGUCCAGACUCCUACGGGAGGCAGCAGUGGGGAAUAUUGGGCAAUGGGCGAAAGCCUGACCCAGCGACGCCGCGUGAGGGAAGAAGGUCUUCGGAUUGUAAACCUCUGUUGAUAGGGAAGAAGAAAGUGACGGUACCUAUCGAGGAAGUCACGGCUAACUACGUG